Molecule: non-coding RNA, 176 nt
Organism: Oryza meridionalis
Lineage: Eukaryota; Viridiplantae; Streptophyta; Magnoliopsida; Poales; Poaceae
Source: Rfam
AACCACACUAUCAAUAAAUGGAUUCACCCGUGAUACGACGUGGUUGUUCCACUUAGGAUGAGGACGCGGCAUCUUAUUACCCGCCGUCGCACGAAAUUAAUAAGAUGUCACAUCCUCAUUUUAGGUAAAACAACCACGUCAUCUCAUAAAAGAAUCCAUUCAUUGAUAGUGUGGUU